AUCGUCAUCUACGUUUAGCUCCAUGGCGGACGAGACGGAUCAGACGGACGAAUGGCUUGAUUUUUCUUCGUCUUGUUUUGAAAACCAGGAAACGCUUUUCGAGGCGAAGGAUGAGGAAACACAAGAUCCUGAAGAAGACCUAAAGCAUGAAAUAAACGGCUUUAGCAAGCUUGAAGAUAUCCAUGAACUAUUGAAGCAAUCACUACCAGACACCUCCGUCACAACACAUGUGCGUCAGAAAACAAGUUCUUCCCAAUGCACUUCAGAUAUUUCGGCUCUAAACGAGUCAUGUAAACAUUGGAUUUGGGUCGAGUUAAUUUCCAAAUUAAACGCAGUUCGCCAGCCAAAAUGGAUGGGUUCCUGUUUAGAGGAGUGCUUUUGUCGUUCUCUACAGGUCUCGAAAGAUUUAAAUGAAAAAGAACAGCCACAAAUAGAAUCUGAUCAUUCUUGCAAAGACUUCUUUAAUUUCCACAAGAUUUUAUCAACUAAUAAGAGCUGGUUUGCCUUCCAUAUAAAGAGGUUCUCCAUCUCCGGGAUGAACUGAGAGACUACACAAAACAAUAUUCGGAUAUUCUUGUAGUGGAACUGGAGAACCGGGAUGCCUACAUAAGAGAAAAAGAACUAAAAAAUGACUUUAUAUCAAGCUUUUUAUCAGUUCAAGAAAAACUAAGAGAAGUUAAUUCAACAACGAGCAAAAAGAAGUUUUCUUUACAAUCUAGCAAGCAAAACAACCCCCCAAAUAGCCAGAGCUUAACAACAAUACCAUAUGAAAUUAAGAAUGGUGGUCCAAGUAUUGAUAUUUUGGAGAAACUCAUUGAAAUUAUGGAGGCAAUGAAGACAAAUAGUCCUAAUGUCCCAACACUUCUAACAAAUUAUAUUCUCAAUGUAUUGUGCAAAUAAUGAACAAUGGUGUCUCCAUAAAACUUGGUACAAGUUUUUGCCUGGAGCAAAUUGCUGGAAAACAUGCUGUGUGUGUGGCCAGUCUGAUUGAAUUUUAGGCUGCGACUAUAUGUGCUGGCCAUACUGACCUUUUUUAAAUGAAUUGAGAAAUAAUAAAUUAAUUGGACAGAAUGAUUUGUAUUUAGUGGAAUUAGGAUGAAUUAUGGCAGGUUUAGGUAAAAUUAUAGAGUUUGUACAAAGGAGAUUUUG
RNAcentral lists this unclassified non-coding RNA (1149 nucleotides) under Dendronephthya gigantea. RNAcentral's name for it is "fasciculation and elongation protein zeta-2-like, transcript variant X1". Lineage: Eukaryota; Metazoa; Cnidaria; Anthozoa; Malacalcyonacea; Nephtheidae. The record is from RNAcentral.